This 1426-nucleotide long non-coding RNA is filed under the name Felis catus (domestic cat). Its description in RNAcentral is "lncRNA (ENSFCAG00000052203.1)". Lineage: Eukaryota; Metazoa; Chordata; Mammalia; Carnivora; Felidae. The record is from RNAcentral.
GGGAAAUGAUUUGCCCCACAGGGCAGAGGGGUGGAAUCGCAAGUUGUUAGACUCUGUGCAUUCUCUCCUGGGUGCUUCCCCCCCCGACCUCCCCGACCUCACCUCAUAAGCUCUUCCUCCUUUCUGUGGCAGCUGCCUUCCAGAAAGGACUGGUGUCCUGGUGAAAAGCACAAACCCAAGCCCAGCAAGCUAUCCUCACAGCACUGCUUCAUAGCCACUCAGACCCUUAAAAAUGAGAGAAAGAAGAAAAAGAAAGAAAGAAAGAAAGAAAGAAAGAAAGAAAGAAAGAAAGAAGAAAGAAAGAAAGAAGAAAGAAAGAAAGAAAGAAAGAAAGAAAAAAAGAAAGAAAGAAAGAAAGAAACCAUUUGGUCAUAAAGGGACUCAAACCACAGCAUAUACCCACCACAAUCCUAUGGGAAAAUUUCCACAUCUGUGCAUAUUUUCUGGGGGUUGUGGGCUCUCCUGGAGCUCCAACUAAAGCAUGACUGGAGCAGCACCCAGUGAAAGGCUCUGGGCUUUGUGGGCUUGCAUUUAUGGUGCUGGAGGCACGAGGAAAAGGUGAGCCCCUACCCAGAUGCUUACAAGCCCAAACUCUAACAGUUCCAAUGGAAAUUGGCUGUGUGGGUACCUUUGAGGUCUACAGGCGGUUUGUUGCUUUUAAAAACCUUGCAACGCAAGCAUCUAAGGCAUGGGAUGCAUUUCAGCUUCUAACUAUAUUUCCGGGAUGUGCUUAUGGAAGGGCAAAACACUUGGCAAAAACUACUUUCAAGCCCCAAAUGUUGGUAUGUCUGUUAAUCGAGAAGUAAAAUCAGGUUGUAAAUAAUAGGUUCCUCUGUCAUUCGCCCUCAGACUAUAUUUAGUCUACAAUUAAUAAGAUGCUAUGAAUAUUUUAAGCAGAAAUAUUUAAAAUAUGAUCACUCUCCAUGCUUUGUUAGAUCAUAUACAAUGAGGACAGAGUUUUCCUGUAACAGAGAACACACACACUAGGUGUGGUUGGGUGCACAGACACACAUUUUUCUAAUUUAGCAAUGGGAUAAAAUAUUUACAUCAAGAAUAACUGUUUAUUUAUUUUUGAGAGAGAGAGAGAGAGAGAGCGAGCAGGGGAGGGGCAGAGAGAGAGGGAGACACAGAAACUGAAGCAGGCUCCAGGCUCUGACUUGUCAGCACAGAGCCCGAGGCGGGGCUCGAACUCACCAACUGUGAGAUCACGACCUGAGCCGAAAUCAGACGCUUACCUGACUGAACCACCCAGGUGCCCCAUUAAAUUUAUGUUUCAAAACUCUGCUUUGAGACAGUAAGGUUUCCAGGCUUGAGGUGGUGCAGGAUGACCAUAUUUCCAUUCCUCUCUUUGAUCUAAUGGCCUGAAUUUGUUUCAAUCUACCAAAACCAAAAUAAAAUUGCCUCCUUUACAAUUCUCGAUUUCUCU